RNAcentral lists this ribosomal RNA (496 nucleotides) under uncultured bacterium. Its description in RNAcentral is "bacterial SSU rRNA". It matches the Rfam family "Bacterial small subunit ribosomal RNA", at positions 903 to 1397 of the family's 1533-position model. The record is from RNAcentral.
AAAUGAAUAGACGGGGACCCGCACAAGCAGUGGAGCAUGUGGUUUAAUUCGAAGCAACGCGAAGAACCUUACCAGGUCUUGACAUCCCUCUGAAUACGCCAGAGAUGGGGUAGGCCCUUCGGGGACAGAGGAGACAGGUGGUGCAUGGUUGUCGUCAGCUCGUGUCGUGAGAUGUUGGGUUAAGUCCCGCAACGAGCGCAACCCUUAGGUCUAGUUGCCAGCACUUCGGGUGGGCACUCUAGAGCGACUGCCGGUGACAAACCGGAGGAAGGCGGGGAUGACGUCAAAUCAUCAUGCCCCUUAUGACCUGGGCUACACACGUGCUACAAUGGCCGGUACAAAGGGCAGCGAAGCCGCGAGGCGGAGCCAAUCCCAAAAAGCCGGUCUCAGUUCGGAUUGCAGGCUGCAACUCGCCUGCAUGAAGUCGGAAUUGCUAGUAAUCGCGGAUCAGCAUGCCGCGGUGAAUACGUUCCCGGGUCUUGUACACACCGCCCGU